RNAcentral lists this ribosomal RNA (253 nucleotides) under uncultured bacterium. RNAcentral describes it as "partial 16S ribosomal RNA". It matches the Rfam family "Bacterial small subunit ribosomal RNA", at positions 524 to 776 of the family's 1533-position model. The record is from RNAcentral.
UACGGAGGGUGCAAGCGUUAUCCGGAUUUACUGGGCUUAAAGGGUGCGUAGGUGGGCAGUUAAGUCAGUGGUGAAAUCUCUGGGCUUAACCCGGAAACUGCCAUUGAUACUAUCUGUCUUGAAUACUCUGGAGGUAAGCGGAAUAUGUCAUGUAGCGGUGAAAUGCUUAGAUAUGACAUAGAACACCUAUGGCGAAGGCAGCUUACUGCGGAGUUAUUGACACUGAGGCACGAAAGCGUGGGGAUCAAACAGG